This 1141-nucleotide long non-coding RNA is filed under the name Papio anubis (olive baboon). Its description in RNAcentral is "lncRNA (ENSPANG00000047365.1)". Lineage: Eukaryota; Metazoa; Chordata; Mammalia; Primates; Cercopithecidae. The record is from RNAcentral.
GUUGAUUUCUCAAGUGCAAUCAAGUAUUUAUUGUGACACUUAUUUUGACGUUUGCUUAUGUUUGUGAAUAGUUGACAAUUUUUCCCCAGUCUUGAAAAAGCACCCAUGUUCCAAGAUCUGCAGCCAAUCCUGUGCUUCCUCAUUGUGCAUGUGGGUGGACAGUGCUUCCAUGUCCUCACUGGCCCUUGUCCUGACCUGCUGUGCCCACUCACACUUCCAGGAAAUGGAAUAAUCUUUCUCAGGGCUGAUGGCUUUUUGUUGGUGGAAAGAAAGGAAAUAUAGAGGAGAGAAGCUAAGAAGCAAUAAUACAUCUAUAAUUCAAAGGAUUUAGAUAAGUAAAAGAAAUACUUUUGGAAAUAAUUGCUGAAUGUGUUGCUGAUGAGAUUCUAGGACCUCUAUCGGUAGAGCCCUUUGAAGUUAGGAGCUGCUGAAAUGAGGUUUGCCAGGGGAGCCAGAGUGUGGCCCUUGGCCUUUGCUGGUGACAUGGCAAGCACAACUCUCUGGCCAUCUCUGGUUAGUCUAUUUGGGGCUUCACAAGCUCCCUCCACUGACUGCAUUGUCACCUCAUUUGUUUUUACCAUUAAAUGCUUGAGAUGAGAAGUGAAGACCAAGAACAGCCUAUCUGCAGGCCAGGGAAAGAUUUCAUUCAUUGUGAAGAAUAAACCCAUAUGAAAAGUUUUCUCCAAACACUUCCUGGGGUCAGGGUACUCAUUAACAAAGAAGUCUGUGUGACAGAAAUUAUGCAUCUGGUUCUAUAAGGUGCUUCAGCUUUGCCUGGUUGAGUUGCUGUGGAGUUAAUCCCAAGAUAAGGAGAAAAGAUGCUGACCUAUUUUUACUAGGAUUAACUCCUCAAACAGCUAUUAUAGGUGAACAAAUGCCCGAUCCAUUUCCAUGCGUGAACACCCAUCUGGGCACUGAUGAGGCCAGAAGACCUCCGCUGAGUUGUAGUCGGGGAGCAGCGAGGGUUGCGUCUUUCAGAGGCCUGUGGCACCACUACAAGGACCCAUUCACCAGGCAAGGAGUCCCAGGAGUUGGUUUCAGAUGCCUGUCAGGAAUCUGUUCAAAGGGUCUUACUAUGUUGCGCAGGCUAGACUCAAACUCCUCGGAUCAAGUGAUAUUCUCACCUCAGCCACCUGAGUAG